AACGUAGGACGCAAGCGUUAUCCGGAAUUACUGGGCGUAAAGCGCGUGUAGGUGGUUGCCUAAGUCACUGUUGAAAGCUCCCGGCUAAACUGGGAGAGGUGCGGUGAGACUGAGCGGCUAGAGUAUGGGAGAGGGAUGCAGAAUUCCGGGUGUAGUGGUGAAAUGCGUAGAGAUCUGGAGGAACACCGAUGGCGAAGGCAGCCUUCUGGGCCAACACUGACGCUCAUGCACGAAAGCGUGGGGAGCAAACAGG
This 253-nucleotide ribosomal RNA is filed under the name uncultured bacterium. Its description in RNAcentral is "partial 16S ribosomal RNA". It matches the Rfam family "Bacterial small subunit ribosomal RNA", at positions 524 to 776 of the family's 1533-position model. The record is from RNAcentral.